UGGUAGUCUUCAUCCCCCAUUUUGUUCAAAUUUCACAUUUUAUUUUUAAAGAGAAAGUUCAAAAAAUAUGCCCCAAUUUCAUGGUGGAAACAAUGAGACAACAAAACUAAAACCAAGCAGAAACCUGCAGCUCUGUACACACUGAAGGCUGAGCAGCUGCAUAUUCCAGAGGCCAGGUAGUCGGAUAACUUCCCAUCCUGGCCGUGAGGUCAGGGGCCGUCAGUGGGAGGAGACCUUGGAGAAGCCCCGGUGAGUCUGUGGAGAGGAGAGACUGCAGGGCCUCAAGGCUGGCAGCAGCGAAGGAGAACUUUUAAGUCCUUCUGAUUCACAAAUAUCUUAAAGAUAAUUGCACCAGGUGGUCUAGGUGAAUCCCUGGGCCAUGGCUUGAGCUGAGGGAUCUGCACACCAACCCUAGCCCACUCCUGACCAGUGUCCGUAUUGGGCAGAGAUGAGUCCAGGAACGGGUCUGGGUCUCUCCCAGCCCCUCUGCAGGCAACAGGCAACAGGCAACUUCUGGAGAUAUUAGGAGACAGAUGUUGCAAGUGAAGAAAAGCAUGGGAAAGACUGACUGUUGGCUUGAGAACAGAGGAGUUUGCCAGGGAGGCAGAGAGAGCAAGAGCCAAGAAAGGCACCUGAAAACACCGUGAGGAAAGCGAUAUUGGUGCUGAAGGAAAGGAGAGUGGUGCAGUGAGAAAUCCACCAGGAGACAGCCUUGACCCCCACAGCAUCUCUUUGUAACAUCCAUCAUGAUCCUUACCUUUCAUGGGUAACCUCGAUUUUUAUUUACCAUGAUUUUUCUUCCUGUUUAUAUUAAAAUCAAUAGGAUAAUUGAGGCUGAGGAAUUAGUGUUUUGAACUUACAUUUGUUUUUUCUACACUCAAUGAACAGAUAAUACCUACUCAAUGAGAUUUAUCUCUUAAUGUGAUAUGAAAUCUGAUUUCAUAAAUUAUGAUUUUGCAUCUAAUUUUAACAAAAUCCUUCAGCCUUUGUCACAUGUUAAUUCAGACAUAGGUAAUUUCUAUAUCAUAAAUUAAGUACCUCUGAUUUGUUCCAUGGCAAACUUGUCUAGCUUUGAUUUUGGAAUCUUAACAAUGACCAUGCCCCGUGGGGCAUUAUUUUCCACGUAGAGAAUCUUGGCAGCCGGCUCAGUGCCUUCAUUCCCACACUAGAUCUGGAGAUGUGGAAAUGCAUUCACCUUGCUCGCAGUACAGAGCACAUAGUACUUAUUCAAUAAACAUGAGAUAAAUGAAUAAUCAGUGGCAUCAUCAGGUCAUUCACAGAAGCCAGACAGACAGAGCUUCCCCAGGUCGGGAAGAAGAAGCAUUUCUUCAUAUUUGCAAUGUUUUCAUUUUUAACAUUGUAAUGUGAACAGUGAUUAUACUAUUUUUAUGAAACUUGUCUUCUGAAAGUUUUCAAAAAUCUCCAAAUCUCAGAGUAGGGAAAAUCAACCUCUGUGAACCUGUCACUUGCAUCAGAGAUUGUCAACUCAUAAACCAUCUGGCUUUAUCUUUACACCCACCCCCUGGAAUUAGCCAGCUGUAGAUGCCGAGAGCACAUCAUUUCAGGUGUAAAUAUAUCAGUUUCUCUUACAGAUGAGAGAUUUUUGGGACUCAAACACAACAAAGUUAUCACACACAAAAGUAAAAAUGUCACUCCUAUAAUCAACUACCUAGUCAGCCUCCAAAGUCUCCCAGUUUUCUCCAGGUUGUUUCUUGGUUUUACAUUUUAUUUGAGUCAGGAUCUUAAUGAAACCCUUCGUUUGCAAUUGGUUGAUCUGUUUCUGAAGUCACUUUUCAUCUCUGAAGUUCAUGCAUCUUGGGCUUUGGGUGGGAUAUGCGUGUGUGUGUUUAUGUGUCUACACCAAUAUGUGAAUUAUUUCUUUCCUGGAUGGCUGUGCCCUGUCAGGAAGGGCCUGGGCUGCCGGAAGCGGGAUUUAUACUCGGCUUGUGGCUGAACUGAAAGGGCCUCCCAGGGUGACACUUGCAGCCUUCAGCGAGGAGGAGGAAGAACUACCAAGGAAUUCAUGUGGCCCUUGUCUUACAGUGUUUCAGGGGAUGACGUUCAAAAUGCCAGGUGAUAACCCUGUAGCUCCUGGUCAUGAGGCGGGUUCUCAGGGUGAGCUCAUAUCUUCACUACCCAGAUGGGAAGCGUUUCAGUAUUUGAAUUGGUAAGGUUGUUGUGUGUAGGCCCAUGUUCAUCAGUUUGGUGGCAUUCCCCUGCUAGACCCAUCUCUAUACUGGCACCUCUCAUGCCUUAUCUUUCAAAACUCCCAACAGGAAAGUUUCACAUCCCCAUAACACAUAACCACAUAACCACAGCACAAGACUGGGGAAAAGAACACAGCCAUCCUGGGGGCUAGAAGCUCUAUAGGAUUGAGCCCAGAUGACCCUUUAGGUCAAGCUGGUAACAAUAAGACUGAGCGUGUAAACUAUUGUUUGUCCGAGAGCAUGAACCUCAGAACCACAUGGGACCCUGGGCAGCAAGGGAGAGUGUGGGUCAUGCACUGCCCAGGAUUAAGGUCCGUUAUCCUGGGCAAACCAGAGCUCACGGCUGAUCCAUCAGGCCUGGCUAGGUAGGAAUGGCCACGAUGUUCCUGACAGAGAGGCUGGGGCCUUAGGGAAUUUCUGCCCAAAAAGAAUUGUAGAAGGAAGUGCAGGGAUGCUGGAAAUCUAGUUCACAGGGAGCAGUGACGCUUAUGCAACAAAGCCCUGUUGUAGCUUUAAAAGCUGCAUCACAAAUCUUUCCCUCUGGAUAGGAAACAAGCAGGAAAAGGACCUGCAAGUUCAUGGACCAGGAUCCCGGGAGGAGUCCAAUCCAGGUAAAGGGUGAACAGGGAGCCCCUAGAGGCGGCCUGCAGAGGGAUGUCCUGCCUGCCCUUAGUCCGUCUGCAAAUGGUCUUCCUCUGGCCUUGUCCUUUCCACAUGCAAAGAGUUAUCUGUUUACAUUUUUUCCCCAUUUACUGUUAGUGCAAUUCCAGAGAUUCAUUAGAAAACUACACGUUCCAAAACUUGAUCAAAAGAAAGCUCCACAAGAGAAGCAGAAAACAUUCCUUCUUCAAAAGCUGUAGAAAGGCAGCCACUGUCCCGGGGCAGGACAUGGUCCUGGCAAGUGCCAUCUGAAAGACCCACAUUUCUGUGCUGGUUGCUCUGCUGGGAAAGUCCCUCCGGCCUCUAAAUCCAGGGGGAUCUGAGGGGCUGUCUCCACUCCUGGCCCAGGGGAACCACACUGAAACGAACCUGUCCUCUAAGGAAGGGAGACUUGGGUGGUCCUUAACUUGCCAGGGAGGGGGCUGGCCUUCCUCCCUUGUCCCACAUACAAUGAGCUGUGACCGUGCACCAGUUCUUAAUUCAAGGAGGAAGGUGAAGUUCUGUGUCUCAUUUAUAUGAGCACAGGAGUUGAACCACACCACAACUCCCAGGCUGUAACAGAAACAGGAUUUUAGUAUAAUAUUCAAAUCUGACACUUACUAUUAAAUAAUAUUGCUCUCCCCAAUAGGCAAAUAGACACUGGGGUAGAGAUGUCAGGGAGCUGGAGGGGGGUCGUCCCCUCCCCUUUGGGAUUUAGGCAAAACCAGGAAAGAGCUUACAAUGUCCUCCUUCACAUCCGGGUGGGAAGAGCUGGCCUGGUGCACCACGAGGGUCCCAGCCAUGUCCCUGCGCCUGAAGAGGCUGAGCUUGUGGUGGCAUCUAGAGUGUGAUGGCUCCUUGCCAAGGGCAUGGCAGCUGAAUAGAAGAAACAGGCUAUUUUGGGGUCCCUCCCUGAGAUGCAUGGCCCACCUCCCUGCCCCCACUGCACUCUGUGCUUCAAACCUGGUGCUGAGUGCUCAGUGCAUUCACAGCACCCCAUUCGUCUGACAUUGAGGUACCGUAAAGCAUCACCCAUACCAGAGGGGGCAACUGAGUCCCAGUAAGGAGAAGGGAGUGGCCCGUCACAGGACUGCUCAGCAGGGGAGCUGGGAUCCAGGCACAGACUGAGCCCAAAGCUUUAUGAGCCCCUGGAUUCAGUCCCUGCGGUCCCGACACUCACUCAGCCCCAAUCUUGAGGAUGGCCGGUUCUUCUUGGUCCUGAAGAAGCCUCGCAUUUUGCUCACCUUCAUGUUUGGGGGCUCCAGCUGGCAGGACAGGCUGUAGCUACAGGACAGAGUGGACCUGUGAGCUACCAGGAGCCACACCUCAGGUGUCCCUCCCAGAGCCAGUCAGCAGCUGGAGUCUUGGUUCGCCAGGGGUCACCAAGCAACAAGGUCUGGGGCUGAUCAGGGAGACGUGGGCACUUGGUCCGGAGCUGGCCCUCAGAGAGAGUCUGCCCUGCACUCACCCAGCUCCUGAGCACUCACCUCUCUUCCUCAUGGAGGGGCUCCAUGGCCUGGAACCAGGCCCCAAAGUGCUCCUCGGGCUGCAGGUGGCAUUCAUUGGCAGCCUCCUGGAGCAGCUGGAUCCUUUUAAUGACCUGGAAUUUCUGGGAGGAAGGACAGGAUGCAGACAGGGCCUGGGGGGAACCCAGCCAGGAACUUGUGGGUAGUGAGGAGCUGCUCUGGGGUCUUUGCUCAUUGGGAACCCUCCUUCCCUCCCACUCCAUUCAGGACUUGCCUGUUCUCACAGUAGGGUUGAAAUAGUUCCUCAUCCAGGAAGGUGUCCUCGAUGUCAGCCCCUCCUCCCACCCACCAAUGUGAUGGGAUCCCCAGCUGCCUGUAUCUAACUCUCGCAAUAAAGAUAAGACCCAAGGGAUGAGGCCAGAGAAAGUCUUGCAGGGGAGGUCUCUGAUUUCCACAGCCCCACCCUCCCCACAUCGAGGGCACGGCUGCUCACCUCACUCCAUUUCUGGAAGUUCACCAUAUUUCCCUCGAAGGCAGACAGCCAAUGUCCAUCAGAAACAGCCCCCUUGGCCCAUGACUAGCCCCCAGCCCACCCCUUCCCAAGUUGCAGGACUGCCAGGACCCAGCAGAGGGCAGACACUGCCUCAAGGAGAGCCUGAACCUGGGCCAGGCUCUGGGCUCCAGCGCAGGGGGGGCAGGGUCACUGAGGCCACAGACUCUGUAGCUCCAACCUCUCUGAUGACAGACAGGGAGACUGAGCCCUCAGAAAGGAAGGGACAGCUGGACCACGGAUGUGCUUCCUGACUUGCAGGGGCUGACUUCACUCCCCCAGGGGCAGGGCUUGAGGGAGAGGCUGAGUCCAGCUCUGACACCACCUCCCGCAGCUCUGUAGUGAGGCAGCUCUGAGCUCCCCCAGCCCAGGGAGCCUGGAGGGGGGCUUAUGCAGAGCCUUGGGUCUCACAUUGCUAAGAUGUGCCUGAGGCCCCAGCUCCAGGGGCUGCCAGGAGGUUCUCAGGAGAGGAGCUUUGCCAAGUGCUGAGAGCUCAGGGCCCAGUGCAGGGCUCUCGCCUCCCAAACCUCUGGAUCCUCUUCCCUGUUCCCCUCUCCAUGCUCACACUCCUUCAGAUAAUCCUCCAUCUCAGUGUCCAGCAGCUGCAGGUAAUCGAGGAGUGAGCCCAGGAAGGGGACGACACCCUGAGCCAUCAGGGUGGGAAUGGUGAUGAGUCCCGGCUUUCAUGUGCCCCCAUGGGACCCUCCCCCCAAAACCCUCACCCCAGCCUCCUGCCCACCCCGGACUCCCACAUAGAGCAGCCCAGGACCCUCAGCAGUCUCCCCCAGGAGCCCCCUCCAGGAACACCAAUCUCCCCUGUCACCUCCCAGGCUUGGCUUUAUGCAGAUCCCAGGGAAUGUGGUCCCUGCUCCUCCCCACCCCAAGUCCCUCCUGGGCCAGCCCUGCCAGGCCUCCUCCUGCUCACUUCUAAUGCAGCCGGUUCAGGCUCUGCAUGGCCAGGAGCUGGGCUGGAGGAGGAGGGACCCCUCUCUUGGUGGAGGCCUCCAGCUGUGAGGGUGGAGCACCCUCUCCUCGAACACAUGGACCCCUCCUCCCCACCACAGGCACCCUCACCUGCCACUGCUGCCUCUCCUGGGCUAUCCAGGGAUCCAUCUCCAGGGUCUCCCACAGAGAGGUCGCUUCCUGCAGCGUCAAGGACAAGGUCAGGGAGGCCAUGCUCCCUUCCGCAUGUGUCCCAGGCCCUUGAUCUUGGACCCUGGACAUCUCGUGUGUGUGGCUGCUCCGUUUUCCAGAUGCUCUGAUUCUCGAUCAGUCCCAGCUCCAACACUUGCUCCUCUGUGGCCUUGGGCCUGCCCAGGCCCCUCAGCCUCUCUCCUCAUCUGGAAAGGGUGAGGAGAACUCCACCUGCCUCCCAGGGCCUCCUGAGGACUCAGUGUCAUCUGACUGUCAUCACUGCUCUCCCCUCACCCCUCGAGGAGGAGGCGGCACACAGCUCCUGCACAUUCCUCUCCUCCCUUGAACCUCAUCCCCCGUUUGUGGGGCUUGAACCACAGAUCACCUCCCUCCACGUCCCACAUGGGGAGACCGAGGCUCACAGAGGGGCUUGACUUGCUCAGAGGCCCACAGAGGAGAGACCCCUUCCCCUCCCAGCCAGAGGCCCUGUCCAUCUGCCUUCACCCCACCUACAGACACACCUCUGAACAUGGUCAUGUCCUCUGGACUCUCAGGGUGUGAGCAGACCCUCAGCCAGGCUGAGCCAUGGAUGACAAGGGGCAGGGUGUCUCAGAGGGCCUGUCCAAGUGGCAUCUACCUGUCCCAGCCCCCUGGGAUUCUCUGACCCCAGGCUAUACCUGAGGCGAUGCCAAAGGCCUCAGCUCCCUAGGAUCCCUCAGGACGUUCCCCUGAACACAACUCUCUUUUCAUCCACUCAGGAAGGUGACCCCUAGUGCCACAUCUGAGUGACAGUUACGGGGUGACCAGGGCACUGGUUGAUGGUGACAUUUGCUUCCUUUUUGUUCUUGGAAACUUCUAACAUCCAGUCAGGAAGGUCCACGAAGAAUCUAUUGGAUCCCCUGAUACUCUCAUUGCCAUCUGGGGCAUGUGCCCUGCCAACAAGGCAGCAGGACCUGACGUUCAGGGACACUGAUUCCUGAAGCAGAAGCCCCCGGCCUAAGUUUCCAGAGAGACUCAGAGUCCGCCAGCCAGGUGAGUCUCUGUCACCAGGGUUUGCUGUCUCCCAGGUGGUGCCAGCUUACUGAGGGGGCAAUGCCAGCACUAUGGGGGGUGUCUGGUCUUCCAAGGUGAUGCUCACAUGAAGAGAGGCCUACCCACCUGGAAACGUGUCCCCAUGUCUUUUUGAGCCGAUGGAUCGUGCAGCUCUGCAGAGCAGAGAGGAUGGCAUGCAGUGAAGCAAAGUUCCUCAGGCCUUGGCACUCCUGGGGCAGGGAAGAGAGUGAGCUGGUGAGGAGAGCUGGAGCCCUGCUGCCUCUGGCUUCUGUUCCCUCAUGGACAUCUCCUGUCUUGGAUGAGACGCAUGCUGAGGAACCCAGUGAGGGCACCCCUGGGACCUGAUGAGUAGCAUUCCCAGGUUGGAGAAUUUGAGCUCAACCCAAGGAGGGAGCCCAGGAAGAAGUGAGCUUCCCACGCUGGGAACAGGAGUCAAGGUCAGUGAGGCCCCGGCAGGAGGGGCCUGGGGACUGUGCAAGGGCUCAGAGCACAGACUUCAAUCCUGAGAGCUGAGGAAGGAGAAGGGGCAGUUUCCAUGACUCCAGAGAGGGGCUCCCUGGGCCGCCCAGAAGGUACCUUGGACACCUGGAUCCAGAGCUCCACCACCCUGGCCCUGUCCUGGGCUGUCAUGCUCAGGUCCCCCAGGCAGGUGGUGACAACACAGUUGACCACUGUGAUAAACUGGGUGAUGGUGGCACGGAUGGUGCAUGCCAGGUGCUCAUUGCCCCUGCUGUCCCAUGGGGACCAGACGGAGUCCAGACAGUGGGGGGGAUCACUUUCUUGAACAGCUCCUGGGGAGGAAGAGAGUGUCACCCAGCCCUGUCACAUGCCUGCUCCAUGUCCACAGUCCACAGUCCCAGGCAGAGUCAGUGGUCAGAGCUGGAGCUCAGGAAGCUGAGGAUGUGGCCUGGGGCUUGUGGGGGUCCCUGGGUUUUGUCUGUGCCCACUGAGGGCACCCAGCACAGGAUGACCCAGGACCAAUAGUGCGGGGAAGGAAAGUGGCAUUCGCUCCCAGCCCAGUCUCACUACUCCAGGCACCAGAACCCCGCUGAUACUUGACGAACGCAAGGGGCAUCGUCUACCUUUUCUGAUCACCCUGGGGCCCGACUCCUCAUUCAGAUGUGCAGUCCUCCCAAGGAGUAACAAUCACAAUCUUUGUAUGUUUGUCUCCCAGGUAGUCAUUACAUAUGAGGUCCCUAAUAAUUGCUAAGGCUGUUGAUGCCUCCUGUGCAAAUGGAUGACCCACCCAAGGACCUGACAGCCCUUCAGUGACCUCCCCUUCCCCCGCCAAAGGGCCAGACUCUGCCCACCUUCCUCUCUGUUCCGCCUCAUUCGUCUGCACAGCCGCUAUGCCUGGCAGAUGCUCUUUUGUCCAUGUCUAGUGUCCACAUGCGGACAGCACAGGCUUGGGAGUUAAGAGGUUGCCCAGGGCACAUGUGUGUAAGUGGGAAAGCUGGGAUUGAAUGUAGGACAUGGGAUUCUGGAUCAGGAAACAGCAGGUCUUGGGCCUCUGAUGGCACAGGGAAGGCCCGCCCCACCUGCCCUGAGAGCCCUGCUGCUCACCGCAUCCAUCAGUGUAAAUUGCUCUGCAAUCAGCUGGGGACGGAACUCCAGGAAGUCAGGCUUCUCCUCCCACAGCAGGCUCUUGGUGGUCACAGCCCGGGGGCAGGUGGGCUCUUGGGCUGGAUGGGCUCUGAUGUAAUCUCUCCAGAUGGAGGAAGUGUUCUCCCUGGAGACAAGGGUCCAGCGGGCUCCAGCUGGAUCUGGCACUGGGGCUGGAGCUGUUGUUGGCAUGGCUCUGGCCCUGGGGGGACUGAUGGAGGUGACACUUGCUCCAGCUCUAGCACAGGUGGUAGAACUAGAAUUGGAGUUGGCCCAGGCCAUGGAGCUGGCCCUUGCUCUGGCUCUGGAGCUGGUGGGAGCUCUGGAGAUGGUCCUGGAGCAGCAUAAAGAAAAAGUAUCAUCAAGUAGAUGACCUCCCCUGAGUCUUUCCAAAGACAGGAAGGACCCCAAUGCCUUAAGGGAACCCAGCCCGUGAACCCCCUGCAAAUCGUCUUCCCACACUGCAGGGCCCUCACCUUCCAGCUCUGCCUCCACGGGCUCUGGAGGACUCCAGCUGGACUGGGAGGAGGGAGGCGUGGCCCUCCUGCUCUGAGGUAGGCGAGCUCACGUGCACACGGGCCAGCUUCAUCUGCGAAGAGACGGCAAUGGGGGAAGGCAUUGGGCAACAGAGUCAGAGGCCUGGUCUUUCCCUCCACACUGCCCACUGAAGGCGCCCUUAUUUGGUCUGGGCCCCUGUGCCCGCCCAUUCCCAUCCAGAGGAGAGCCCCGGCCCAGUCCCGCCCCUGUGUGGCUGUCCUGGUGGUGGCAGGACUGCUCAACCAGCAAGUUGAACACAGAGUCAGUGUGAGUCUGUUCUUCCCACUGACACUCUCUUCCUGAAGGGCUUGGACAAAGCCCACCCCAGCCCUCCAUGCAUUUAUGCAACUGGACUGAGGACUGAGGCAGACGUGUGACCAUGUUGCUCACACACCUCCUGUUCUGGGCCUGCUGGGGGUGGUCCGAAGAAGUGGAUGUGGAGAAGGGGAGGCAGAUCAAGAUAGGACUAUGGUGGGGAUGGGUCUCUAGGGGACAGCCCAGCCCAGCCUCCACUCUGGUUCCCAGGGGUCCUGGGACCCAUCUACAGGUCUUUGAAUCCUGACCUCCUGGAAUGGAAGCCAUCAGACCUCAGCCUUCCAGUGAGAAUCAAAACAUGUGUGAGAUGCAGGGUUUUGCCAGCCUGGCCCCAGCCACAGUCCCCCAUUUCCCCCAACCCUGUUCUGUAGAGACAGGGCGCCCUCCUUCUGGACCCAGAGGCCACUCAUUUUAUUCCGGCAUCCUGUGGUCUGCCCUCCUGGUUUUGAUAAUGGAAGAUGCCUCCAGAUGUAAAGGAGGUGACGAGAGCACCAUUUGGGAUGUGCGAUGGAUGACAGGACUUGCGAAUGAUGUCUAAUGUGACUAUUUGACUCUCAGACUACAACUGAGACGCAGGGAUUGUAUCUGUUGGACACCUGGAUUCACUGAGUUAUGCUAAGUGUCUCCAAAAAUCCUGCACAUAGUAGGUGCUUCACAUACAUGGUUGAAUGAAUGAAGUCCAGCCAGAAGCAUCCCAGAUGUCGGAGUGGGCCUGGGGCCCCUCUGCUCCCCAGACAUCCCUAAUUGGCCCCACCAAGCACAAGGACCAGGACCAUCUCUCUGGAAUCUCAAACUCCUUGACAGGGUGCUGUCCGUGUGCUUUGCCAAACUCAGAAAGACCACAUCCCAGAGACGGGUGAGACAGACUACUUUCCAUGAGGAAGAACCAAUAAUAACCAUGAACAACCACAGCUCACCCCACAGCCACAUCUGCAGAGCCAGGCACCAGGUCAGCACCCGCCAUGGCUGAUCCCAUUAGUCCCUCCAAGAACCCCAUGACGUUUAUCCUCUCCCACCCCACUUUUCAGAGGAGCAAAGUGAGGCUCAGGGAGAUGCAGUGACAUUACAAGAAUUACAGCUGGCAGUGGGCAGUCACCCAGUAAACAGCUGGUCCAGGACCUGGUGGGAUGUGUUGAAGGCCGAGUAGUUGAACACAAAGGUGGUGACAUUUGAGAUGUUUCUACCUAGGAAAGCUGGUGCCAUGGACUUUGUCAGUCUCCAUCAGGUCUGCUGGAGGGACCGCCACCUGCAGGCCUCAUUUAAAUUCACAAAGGGGUCAUCUUCACUCUGGGUGGAAGGAGGAGGGACACACAAAAAAUCAGUGGCAUCACCGUGAACCACUAGGAGGAUGGAGGUUACUUUCUUUCUGCCUAUGUAGCUGGUGGGGAGGAGGGGAGGUCGUGAUUCCUUUGGGAGUGGGACUGUGGGACACUCUAGUGAGAAAACACUGGGAGCAUCUCAGGGGAGUCUCAGAUUUGGGUCUGGAUUCUGGUACUGCCUCGGUCAUCUCAGGGUCCUGGGUGUGAAGACCCCUCUGCACUAAGCCCGGCCCGGGUCAUUGUUGGUGGCCUGGAGCACCCGCCCCCUGUCCAGGGAGACGGCAUAGUCGAAACCAUUCACUAACUAUGUGACCAUCUUGUGGGUGCAGCUCUGCAAACACAGUGCCUGGGAGAAAGACCAGGAGGGAUCAGGGGCCUGCCUGGACCUCACCAGGGGGAACCCGCACCACAGAUCAGGCUCAGAGGGGCACCUGCAUAGACCUCCAGCCAGGGCUGGAAUGUGAUGACACCUGGUGGGCUUGGGAUUCACAUAGGGAUAAAGGAGCUCGGUCCCCAGCACUCAACUUCCUACCCUGCCAGCCAAGAUGUGGGGUAUGAAGAUGACCCAUUGCCAGACUUCCAACAUCUCACUACCUGCUCCUACCCGGGAUGUGUCCCUCCUCAUCCCCACCUUUCCUAAGUGCACCUCCCAAACACACACACACACCUUGAGCAUCAAGGGGUGUGGGGCUGGCCAGGUGGGAGCACAGUUGUGACCUGACCUGGAGCGGCCUGCCCUGGGUUGCCCUGUGUUGCCUGAGGGUUCCUCCUGCCAAAAGGCCAGAGGUGUUAGAGGUGAGAGUUGAAUCAAUGUCUACAAAGGCUCUCGUCAGAUUUCUAGAAGCCAGAGCUUCGGAAAGUUGGGACACAACAUGCAAACAUCUUGUUCUCUUGAGUGCCUCCAUUCAAGUGAGCUGGAUGUGAGGCUGUGUCUAGAAUGUGGGUGCCUGGUAACCAAAGUUCUAAGUUCUGUUGGGGUCUGUCACCAAAGAAGUGAGGCCACUUCUCAAGGUUCCAUUAUCUGGGCCCCUUCCUUCAAUCAGACCCACCCAAAGCCUCCUCUGGGCUGUUGACUGCUCAUCGCCCUUGCCCAUGUCAUCUCCAUAAUUGUACACAAAUAUCCAUCACUGCCCUCCCCACAGCGCUCUGGGAAUGGGACCAGGGCCCUAGCUUUGAGGAGACACAGCUGAGUUCAGACCUCUUUUUUCCUACCAAUUCUGAGUCCUGGAAAAGCCAUUUGUGCCUCUCAUGGCCUCCCCAGUCUCCCAACCUGCACAGUGGAGAUGGUGCUAAAACCAAUUUCCUAGGCACAUCAUCAGGUGUGUAUGUGACAAUACCUAUAACUUCUGUGGGUUAGAGUCACAUGUGUCUGAUACAGAAACUUAGAGAUGGAAGAUGGAAGAUUGGGACAGUCACUGCCCCCCUGGGCCUCAUUUUCAGGUCUGCACUUUUCAGGGGUUGAAAUUAGAAGAAAUUCAUAUAUUGUGAUCCACUGGCAAAAGUUUCCCAUGGUCUCCUGUUUUACUUAGAAUCAGACCCAAGUGCCUCAUGUCGGCCUGUGUGUGGGGCAGCCUCCACAAUGGCUCCCAGUGCUCCCUGCCUCCUGGAGUGCACGUCCUUAUGUGACAGCUAAGUGGUUAGUAACUGGCUUCUGAUCAACAGAAUGCCCCAAGGUGAUGGGAUGUCACUUCCAAGUUUUAAUUACGAAGAGCCUGUCACUUCCUUCUUACAGGCAUUCUUGGGUUCCCUCCUCCUCUCCUGUUUGCAGCUCUCUCUCUGUCUUAUCUCUGGAACUGAGAGAGCAAGCACCGAUGCUUUCAGUUGCCCUGUGUAGAGGCUCCAUAGGAGAGAACUGAGGGGGUGCCCAGCCAACAGACAGGCAGGAACUCAGACUCUCAGUCCAGAUGAAUCCUGACAACACCCAUGUCAGCGAUCUUGGGUGGGAGUCCUCCCCCAGUUGAGCCCUGUUGAGACUGCAGCCCCUGCUUCAUAGAGAAUUUGAAGCUGAGGCACCCAGCUAAGCUCUGCCUGAUGCCUGGCCCACAGAAAGUGCAGGAUGUUAACUGUUUGUUCCUUAUGGGUGGAAGGUUUUGGAGCAAUGUUGUCAUAGAGGAACAGAAACUAACACAGUCCACCAUGUCCCACGAUCUGGCCCUCUCACCCUCCUCUCUCUUCUCAGGCUCCCUCCAGCCACACCUGCCACCUUUCUGACCUCCUCUGGUCAAACUCACUUCUUCCUGUGAAUCUCUGCACCAGGGGUACCUUCUCCCUGACAUGCUAACUGUUCCCAGAUAUAGGCAAGGGUGGCUUACACUUGUCAUUCUGGCUACAGCAAAUAAUCACCUCAGUGAGGCCUUUCAGAACCUCCCAGCACAGUCUCACAUCCAGAGGUGCAUGACAUUAUUUCUUUUGUCUUGAUCACAUUUAGAUAAAGUUGAGUCCAUGAGGAAGGGCUGUCUGCUUUGUCUGAAGCAGAUGCAAAUCCUGGUUACACCAGGCACCCAGGUUGAAACACCACCAGAUCCUGAAUUCAGUUACUGCUGAGAUCCUCCCAGCAAUUUGGUAAUUCAGUGGUUCUCCUGAGGUCACCUUUCCCCUGAGACCCAACUCCCAGCCAGCCCUUGGCUAAUUAGAUGAACAAUGAGAUUUUCUCAGAGUCCUCCCAGCCAGGACAAGAAAUGUUUUGAAAUGUUCUCUGUAUUAACUUUUAGGAAGUGGGGAUGCUGGCAGAAGUAAUUUGGGUGUGUAUGUACAAUAGUUUCUCUAUAGGUAUUAUUCAGACAAAAUAGUGUGGCUAUGGGAUAUAUCAAGAAAAUGGAUAAAUUGAUCCAAUUUUUUCAUGAUGUGAAGUCUUUAGAGAUUAAAUAUCAUGGUUAAGAGCAUAGAAUAUGAGCCGACAUCUUAUGUUCAAACUCCAACUCAAUCGCUUACUGGUUAUUUGUAUUGAUCAAGUUACUUACCUUGUUGGUACCUCAGUUUCUUCAUCUGUCAGUUGACAGUAAUGAUAAGCGUACCUACUUUGUAAGGCCAUGGGGAGUACUAAAGGAGUUAAUGUUUGAAAAAUGCCUGUAACACCUAGCAUUUACAGCACUGUAUCUAUAUAUUAUGAAUAAAAUUUAAAAAUUGUUUUGACACUGUAAGUUCCAGAAGGUAGACUAGUAGUGCCUGGGUGUAUGUAGGAAGCG
This 14007-nucleotide long non-coding RNA is filed under the name Equus asinus (donkey). Its description in RNAcentral is "lncRNA (ENSEASG00005031774.1)". The stretch from base 5999 to 6093 matches the Rfam family "mir-8993 microRNA precursor family". Lineage: Eukaryota; Metazoa; Chordata; Mammalia; Perissodactyla; Equidae. The record is from RNAcentral.